This 379-nucleotide ribosomal RNA is filed under the name uncultured eukaryote. RNAcentral's name for it is "partial 18S ribosomal RNA". It matches the Rfam family "Eukaryotic small subunit ribosomal RNA", at positions 592 to 976 of the family's 1831-position model. The record is from RNAcentral.
CAAUAGCGUAUAUUUAAGUUGUUGCAGUUAAAAAGCUCGUAGUUGGAUUUUGGGUCGGGGGCACCGGUCCGCCGUUCCGGUGUGCACUGGUGGCCCCUUCCUUUCUGCCGGGGACGUGCGUCGCACUUAAUUGGGUGGCGUUCGGAGUCGGCGUUGUUACUUUGAAAAAAUUAGAGUGUUCAAAGCAAGCCAUCGCUCUGAAUACAUUAGCAUGGAAUAACAUGAUAGGACUCCGGUCUUAUUUUGUUGGUUUCCGAGACUGGAGUAAUGAUUAAGAGGGACAGUCUGGGGCAUCCGUAUUUCAUUGUCAGAGGUGAAAUUCUUGGAUUUAUGAAAGACGAACUUCUGCGAAAGCAUUUGCCAAGGAUGUUUUCAUUAA